This 2230-nucleotide ribosomal RNA is filed under the name Triticum aestivum (bread wheat). RNAcentral's name for it is "partial small subunit ribosomal RNA". Lineage: Eukaryota; Viridiplantae; Streptophyta; Magnoliopsida; Poales; Poaceae. The record is from RNAcentral.
CGGGAGGAAACCCAAACAGAGAAGGGGAGAGAGGCGGGGGAAGAGGGGUGGGUGGGGCGGGACGAGAGGGGGGAGACGCCCACACAACACCUCCCCUCCUCCUCGUUCUUGGUGCUCGACGACGACGACGGCGACGACGGUUGCGACGUGUCGGACCCGAGCGGCUAGUAACUAACGCGUAGAUAAUGGAAGGAGAAGACACGAUUUGUUAGGGUAGAUAGGGAAUAUAUAUAGGAGGACCAGGAACGGUUAGCGAGGAGUGAAGAUCUAAAGCCCCUAACGGGGAGGGAUGGCAUCGAAACGAUUCAUCAACGAAGAAGAAGAACCAAAGAAAAGAACUAACGAAACCCAGAGGCUAAAAAACCCAGGAGCCAAAGAACCAGGAGGGGACUUAGAACAUCUCAGACAAGGAAAGCGGCAGCCAUCGGUACCUGCUGUCCUAAGGCGGCGGCAGAGUGGACGUCGUCAUGAGCGUCAGGGGACAGGUAAGAAGCGGAGUAGUGGUGGUGGAGUUAAGGUACUCCAUGAGACGGAGCAGACUAUCUCUUUCCACCCCGAGGACGAAACGAUAGGGACAAGAACAAAGAAGGCCAGCUCAAAAACAAAAAGCAAAAAACUAGGUCUGUGAAGCCUUAGAAGGCACUUCGUGCUCUAAACUACGCCGGCCGCCUCUAAGGACGGACCAAGGCCGGAAGAAGCUCACGACUCUAACACUACCUCCUCACUAGACACCUCUAUCCCUAAAUCUACUAACGAGGAGCAACUAUCUAAAUAAAAAAAACCGGACAACUACAUUUUAAGCAUACAUUAUUAAGCCAGUAAAUAACCAUCUGCACACAUGUUAAAAUGUAGAACGACCUAGAACUACAUAUUUAGAUUAGUUUCAAGAUCAAAAAAUGUAGCAAAACCAAACGGAAGACCAAUAAAAUCUACGAAGUUUAGUACUAACAUGAAAGACAGUAUAGCAUAGUUAGAGAGUACACUUGUUGUCUCAAGCUCACUGGACACAAUAGGAUUACACGAACAAAGAAGCCGUCCAUAGACCGACUCAACGAACGACUCUCCGUCUUCAAUCCGGGUAAGUAAGUUCAAGAAGGGAUGACGUGGUCCGAGAACUUGGUUCUCUAAAACGCCCGUAGAAGAAACGGCGGAUUGGUAUUAAAACAACUACGACUCUCUUAACUCGUACCAUCGGGUAAUUCCAAUGGACCGGUGGGUCACUUACCAGUUGGUUACCUAGACCUCCCUACCAGUCCUUCCGUUCGUCUCGUAUACCCCCAAGACGUUCGUAGUGGUUACUCGACCUUACCACGAGGUCGUGAACCGCCAUGAGGACAACAGUUCUUUGAACACUCCGAUCUACAAGGACACCUGUUCAUAGGAUUGAAGUUGAAACAACCGGCAGAUAACCCCGGUGCUCCUUUGAGGGACUUUUCUCAACUUCGAUGCUGAGUUACGUCUCAAAUAUAAGCACCCGCACCUAGUCAAUUUCUGAGACACUUCCUUCUCUUCGACUCUCUAUUCGGACCUAUACUCGUGGAGUUACUCCGUGACGUGCACGAACACCUUCGUCUCAAGGGUCGUCUGUAAUAACUACACGCAGAUUUGGUCCGACACUGGUAGGACCUUCUAGAAGAGUUUGGUUACCUACUCAGGUACCUGAUGAUGUUCUUCGUCGUCGACUCUCUCGACCGGUAGGACUUGCCGUGAGACUCCCUCCUUUCGGGUUCGGGGGUGGAAUCGGGUUCGCACAGGGGGAAAUUGAGGCGGCCCUACUUCGCAGGCUUUUGCCCCGCCACUAGAUGUUUUUGAACCAGACAGACUUAGACUACUGUUCCCACCUCUACUAACCACAACGUAUACGGCGCUACUACUCACGACCGGAUACGGACAGUACUAGACGCGCGAAAUGGUUGGCAUACUACCCAGGCACCCGCUUACUACUAGGAACCACCCGAACUAACUACAAACUGCGACAAGGAUAAUAAAUAAGAAAGACACGUUAGACUGAAACCUUUUUUAACUGUAACAAAUAACCAAACCCCAUUCAAUUGUUCCGGUCCACCGGUAGGUUCACAGCCUGUUAUUAGUCGGUCCAUAACACACGGACCUUCUUUAUCGACACUAUACUAUAACAGUACACGACCACGAAAACACACGAUCAUCACCAUCAUGAUCUGUCCGUCCGUCUGUCCGAGACAAUUACUAACUAAACGUAAGUAUUAAAGGG